Molecule: ribosomal RNA, 460 nt
Filed under: uncultured bacterium
Lineage: Bacteria
Description: partial 16S ribosomal RNA
Rfam family: Bacterial small subunit ribosomal RNA
Source: RNAcentral
CCGACGGGAGGCAGCAGGGAGGAAUAUUGGUCAAUGGAAGGAAGGCUGAACCAGCCAUGCCGCGUGCAGGAAGACGGCUCUAUGAGUUGUAAACUGCUUUUGUACAAGGGUAAACCUGAAUACGUGUAUUCAGCUGAAAGUACUGUACGAAUAAGGAUCGGCUAACUCCGUGCCAGCAGCCGCGGUAAUACGGAGGAUCCAAGCGUUAUCCGGAUUUAUUGGGUUUAAAGGGUGCGUAGGCGGAUUGAUAAGUUAGAGGUGAAAUGUCCGAGCUUAACUCGGGAACUGCCUCUAAUACUGUUGAUCUAGAGAGUAGAUGCGGUAGGCGGAAUGUAUGGUGUAGCGGUGAAAUGCUUAGAGAUCAUACAGAACACCGAUUGCGAAGGCAGCUUACCAAUCUAUAUCUGACGUUGAGGCACGAAAGCGUGGGGAGCAAACAGGAUUAGAUACCCCUGUAGUC